This 431-nucleotide ribosomal RNA is filed under the name uncultured bacterium. RNAcentral describes it as "partial 16S ribosomal RNA". It matches the Rfam family "Bacterial small subunit ribosomal RNA", at positions 29 to 507 of the family's 1533-position model. The record is from RNAcentral.
AACGAACGCUGGCGGCAGGCUUAACACAUGCAAGUCGAGCGCCCCGACAGGGGAGUGGCAGACGGGUGGGUAGCGCGUGGGAACGUACCCUUUGGUUCGGAACAACCCCGGGAAACUGGAGCUAAUACCGGAUAAGCCCUAACGGGGAAAGAUUUAUCGCCGAAAGAUCGGCCCGCGUCUGAUUAGCUAGUUGGUGAGGUAACGGCUCACCAAGGCGACGAUCAGUAGCUGGUGUGAGAGGAUGAUCAACCACACUGGGACUGAGACACGGCCCAGACUCCUACGGGAGGCAGGAGUGGGGAAUAUUGGACAAUGGGGGCAAGCCUGAUGCAGCCAUGCCGCGUGAGUGAUGAAGGCCUUAGGGUUGUAAAGCUCUUUUGUCCGGGAAGAUAAUGACGGUACCGGAAGAAUAAGCCCCGGCUAACUUCGUG